UUUUUUUUUUUUUUUUUUUUUAAUUCCUAAAUUCCAGAGGCGCAAGUUUUUCCCCUUUAAGUUGCUUGUGCAGUAUCCCAUCAAGUACACCAUACUUCAAUGUCUUUGAGUUUAUUGGGCACAUUUUUUCCGUUAUGUGAACGAUUGGCAGCCAAAGGUGAACUGGCGAGCUCAUGAAAGUUCUAGUUGUAUGAGAAAAGAGUAAUAGUAUAGGUUUCAUUUUUUAUGUCAUUCUGGUGUUUAUAACUUGUAAUAUUUUUUGAAACAAUUUGCCAUAGGUUCUCUUGCUUCUUGCGAUCUUAUUGUCUUUCUGUAUGACGCAUUAUGUUUACAGGAUAUGAAAGACAUGAGAACUUGCUAUGAUUGUUUACUCUCUGCAGCUGCUGCUACAACAAAUAGUGCUUAUGGUACUUGCUUGAUGUGAUUUAAUAGCUGAAGUUGUAUUUCAAUCUUAAAAUCUCAUUCGGAUAUAAUUUUCUAGCAGCAAGUAGAUCUGAAUGUAUGACCUGAGCUGCCGUGUGGUGCGAACUUGUCCAUGCUUAUGGCCUUGUUUCCUUUAAUACAUGUUUUAAAUAGUUUAUUUGAUACCUAUCUUAUAUUAGAAUGCCAACAGAAAAAACAUAAGUCGGCCUGAAGUUUUUCGAUAAUUUUACUUUUUUUCUUACCUUCCAAGGAUACAUCAAAGCCCAUCCAAAAUGGUGAUCCGAAAUCCUCAGCUUUGGACAUCAAUCUCAGUUUCUUUCUCUGUUGAUCACUCUGAUUGAUGCUUAUUCUUCUGUUGUCCUUCGACUCAAGGAUUAAUCAAUCUUUUCUUCAAAUUGUUCUUUUUCUUACCUCUGGCUUCUCUCCUAACCUUUAACAAAUCUACUAAACUUGUUUCUAUCUAUAUAUUAGAGAGAGAAGCAAUGUCAAUCACUCACUAUUCUUGGUUAUAAUUUAAAAGUUCUUCAAAAUCUCAUCUGUUCAAAAACCCUGUAUUUGAAGAUCCAGAAGAUUAUUAAGUGAUUAGAAAGAGCAAACAUUUGAAUGAUAACUGAAUUUUUUUUU
RNAcentral lists this long non-coding RNA (1047 nucleotides) under Olea europaea (common olive). RNAcentral's name for it is "long non-coding RNA (OEUR_LNC013626)". Lineage: Eukaryota; Viridiplantae; Streptophyta; Magnoliopsida; Lamiales; Oleaceae. The record is from RNAcentral.